Molecule: ribosomal RNA, 497 nt
Filed under: uncultured bacterium
Lineage: Bacteria
Description: partial 16S ribosomal RNA
Rfam family: Bacterial small subunit ribosomal RNA
Source: RNAcentral
GAUGAACGCUGGCGGCGUGCCUAAUACAUGCAAGUCGAGCGAACGGACGAGAAGCUUGCUUCUCUGAUGUUAGCGGCGGACGGGUGAGUAACACGUGGAUAACCUACCUAUAAGACUGGGAUAACUUCGGGAAACCGGAGCUAAUACCGGAUGAUAUUUUGAACCGCAUGGUUCAAAAGUGAAAGACGGUCUUUCUGUCACUUAUAGAUGGAUCCGCGCUGCAUUAGCUAGUUGGUAAGGUAACGGCUUACCAAGGCAACGAUGCAUAGACGACCUGAGAGGGUGGUCGGCCACACUGGAACUGAGACACGGUCCAGACUCCUACGGGGAGCAGCAGUAGGGAAUCUUCCGCGAUGGACGAGAGCCUGACGGAGCAACGCCGGGUGAGUGAUGAUGGUGUACGGAUCGGAAAACUCUGUUAGUAGGAGAGAACAUAUGUGUAAGUAACUGUGCACAUAUUGACGGUACCUAAUCAGAAAGCCACGGCUAACUACGUG